This 27-nucleotide non-coding RNA is filed under the name Mus musculus (house mouse). The record is from RNAcentral. Lineage: Eukaryota; Metazoa; Chordata; Mammalia; Rodentia; Muridae.
UGGCGAUGCUUACAUCAUAUCUGGCAG